Molecule: ribosomal RNA, 497 nt
Filed under: uncultured bacterium
Lineage: Bacteria
Description: partial 16S ribosomal RNA
Rfam family: Bacterial small subunit ribosomal RNA
Source: RNAcentral
GAUGAACGCUGGCGGCGUGCCUAAUACAUGCAAGUCGAGCGAACGGAUGAGAAGCUUGCUUCUCUGAUGUUAGCGGCGGACGGGUGAGUAACACGUGGAUAACCUACCUAUAAGACUGGGAUAACUUCGGGAAACCGUAGCUAAUACCGGAUAAUAUUUUGAACCGCAUGGUUCAAUAGUGAAAGACGGUUUUGCUGUCACUUAUAGAUGGAUCCGCGCUGCAUUAGCUAGUUGGUAAGGUAACGGCUUACCAAGGCAACGAUGCAUAGCCGACCUGAGAGGGUGAUCGGCCACACUGGAACUGAGACACGGUCCAGACUCCUACGGGAGGCAGCAGUAGGGAAUCUUCCGCAAUGGGCGAAAGCCUGACGGAGCAACGCCGCGUGAGUGAUGAAGGUCUUCGGAUCGUAAAACUCUGUUAUUAGGGAAGAACAUAUGUGUAAGUAACUGUGCACAUCUUGACGGUACCUAAUCAGAAAGCCACGGCUAACUACGUG